AUCGCUUCUCGGCCUUUUGGCUAAGAUCAAGUGUAGUAUCUGUUCAUAUCGGUUUAAUAUCUGGUACGUUCUCCGUCCGGGGACAUUAUAUUAAAUGGGUUUUGGAAGCGGGGAGGUGGGAUAGGGGCUUGCUCCGUCCACUCCGAGCAUCGGCCCGGCAGUGCUGCACCGCCUCGGGGAUCCCUGU
Myotis daubentonii (Daubenton's bat) is the source of this 187-nucleotide small nuclear RNA. RefSeq annotates it as U2 spliceosomal RNA. The record is from RefSeq and is a predicted model, not a curated record. Lineage: Eukaryota; Metazoa; Chordata; Mammalia; Chiroptera; Vespertilionidae.